AUUGAACGCUGGCGGCAUGCUUUACACAUGCAAGUCGAACGGUAACAGGCCUUCGGGUGCUGACGAGUGGCGAACGGGUGAGUAAUGCAUCGGAACGUGCCCAGAGGUGGGGGAUAACGCAGCGAAAGCUGUGCUAAUACCGCAUGUGAUCUGAGGAUGAAAGCGGGGGACCAAGCAGCAAUGUUUGGCCUCGCGCCUCUGGAGCGGCCGAUGUCAGAUUAGGUAGUUGGUGGGGUAAAGGCCCACCAAGCCGACGAUCUGUAGCUGGUCUGAGAGGACGACCAGCCACACUGGGACUGAGACACGGCCCAGACUCCUACGGGAGGCAGCAGUGGGGAAUUUUGGACAAUGGGCGCAAGCCUGAUCCAGCAAUGCCGCGUGCGGGAAGAAGGCCUUCGGGUUGUAAACCGCUUUUGUACGGAACGAAAAGGCUCUGGCUAAUACCUGGGGCUGAUGACGGUACCGUAAGAAUAAGCACCGGCUAACUACGUG
Molecule: ribosomal RNA, 492 nt
Filed under: uncultured bacterium
Lineage: Bacteria
Description: partial 16S ribosomal RNA
Rfam family: Bacterial small subunit ribosomal RNA
Source: RNAcentral